Molecule: small RNA, 394 nt
Filed under: Pan troglodytes (chimpanzee)
Lineage: Eukaryota; Metazoa; Chordata; Mammalia; Primates; Hominidae
Description: processed transcript
Source: RNAcentral
GGGAGAGAUAAUGCAUGUGAGAAAACUUCAUAUAUGUUUCUACGAAAGGAACUUCCUGUGCGGCUGGCUAACACAAUGAGAGAAGUUAAUCUUCUGCCGGAUAAUUUACUUAACCGCCCUUCAGUGGGAUUGGUUCAGAGUUGGUAUAUGCAGAGUUUUCUUGAACUUUUAGAAUAUGAAAAUAAGAGCCCUGAGGAUCCACAGGUCUUGGAUAAGUAAGUAUGGUACCACUUAGCUGAAAGUAAAAAUAUCUAGGUAAGAAAGAUUUUGGUAAAUGUAAUUCAAGUCAUUAAGACUCAAGGAGUAUGAAUGUGGACAAAAGCGUUCAUUUUCUUAAUGAGUAGUGACUCAACAUUGAGUUUUUUUUUAAAUUCGAGCUAAGAAUGUAACACAA